This 355-nucleotide long non-coding RNA is filed under the name Ananas comosus (pineapple). RNAcentral describes it as "long non-coding RNA (ACOM_LNC034294)". The record is from RNAcentral. Lineage: Eukaryota; Viridiplantae; Streptophyta; Magnoliopsida; Poales; Bromeliaceae.
AUAUAUAUAUAUAUAUAUAUAUAUAGAGUGAGGCUACUAUGCUAUCGGAAGCACGGAGCCUUCCGUGCUUCCAGCUCGUUUUCGAUGUUACGAUUUUCGAAUCGUCGAUCGGCUCCGUUAAACUUGAUCUAGAGUAUUUGAAGUACCUAGAAAAUAAAUUUUAUGAUUUUACGAUAUCAUUUGCUUAGUGAAUGAAGGGGCUCAAAAUCAACGGCUAAAAAUAAAAAUCUUACAAGUAUAAUAAUAUGACAUUAAAAUUUUAAAUCAAAGAUAUUGAUCUUGUUUUAUAUAGUAUAAAGAAUUUUCUAUCAAAAUUUCACGUGAUUUGGAUAUUUCUACACCGUUAAACUUGCAA